Molecule: transfer RNA, 72 nt
Filed under: Camelus bactrianus (Bactrian camel)
Lineage: Eukaryota; Metazoa; Chordata; Mammalia; Artiodactyla; Camelidae
Also listed under: 3 other names
Rfam family: tRNA
About the family: Transfer RNA (tRNA) molecules are approximately 80 nucleotides in length.
Source: Rfam by way of RNAcentral
GUGGAUAAAGCUCAGUGGUAGAGUGCAUGCCUAGCAUGCGCGAGGUCCUGGGUUCAACCCCCAGUACCUUCA